GUGGGAACGUACCCUUUACUACGGAACAACUCCGGGAAACUGGAGCUAAUACCGUAUGUGCCCUUCGGGGGAAAGAUUUAUCGGUAAAGGAUCGGCCCGCGUUGGAUUAGCUAGUUGGUGGGGUAAAGGCCUACCAAGGCGACGAUCCAUAGCUGGUCUGAGAGGAUGAUCAGCCACAUUGGGACUGAGACACGGCCCAAACUCCUACGGGAGGCAGCAGUGGGGAAUAUUGGACAAUGGGCGCAAGCCUGAUCCAGCCAUGCCGCGUGUGUGAUGAAGGCCUUAGGGUUGUAAAGCACUUUCACCGGAGAAGAUAAUGACGGUAUCCGGAGAAGAAGCCCCGGCUAACUUCGUGCCAGCAGCCGCGGUAAUACGAAGGGGGCUAGCGUUGUUC
Molecule: ribosomal RNA, 394 nt
Filed under: Agrobacterium sp. F144
Lineage: Bacteria; Pseudomonadati; Pseudomonadota; Alphaproteobacteria; Hyphomicrobiales; Rhizobiaceae
Also listed under: 1 other name
Description: bacterial SSU rRNA
Rfam family: Bacterial small subunit ribosomal RNA
Source: RNAcentral